Molecule: microRNA precursor, 82 nt
Filed under: Branchiostoma floridae (Florida lancelet)
Lineage: Eukaryota; Metazoa; Chordata; Leptocardii; Amphioxiformes; Branchiostomatidae
Description: mir-2060 microRNA precursor family
Rfam family: mir-2060 microRNA precursor family
Source: Rfam by way of RNAcentral
GUGUGUGGAUGGUGUUUAGCACCAUGGACAGGUGUGUUUGUGUGUGAAUGGUGGUCAGCACCAAGGGCAGGUGUGUUUACUU